RNAcentral lists this small nucleolar RNA (119 nucleotides) under Erinaceus europaeus (western European hedgehog). The record is from RNAcentral. Lineage: Eukaryota; Metazoa; Chordata; Mammalia; Eulipotyphla; Erinaceidae.
UACCUCCCCAGCCAGCAUGUGGAGAAUGGCUGAUACCCUAUCAGCUUCAGAAACCAGAGGUAUCUAUUCUGCUCCCAGAUUGACAGUAGCUGGUGAUUGUAAGACGUCAUGUGACAGUA